RNAcentral lists this ribosomal RNA (468 nucleotides) under uncultured bacterium. Its description in RNAcentral is "partial 16S ribosomal RNA". It matches the Rfam family "Bacterial small subunit ribosomal RNA", at positions 28 to 507 of the family's 1533-position model. The record is from RNAcentral.
GACGAACGCUGGCGGCGUGCUUAACACAUGCAAGUCGAACGGAAAGGCCCUGCUUUUGUGGGGUGCUCGAGUGGCGAACGGGUGAGUAACACGUGAGUAACCUGCCCUUGACUUUGGGAUAACUUCAGGAAACUGGGGCUAAUACCGGAUAGGAGCUCCUGCUGCAUGGUGGGGGUUGGAAAGUUUCGGCGGUUGGGGAUGGACUCGCGGCUUAUCAGCCUGUUGGUGGGGUAGUGGCUUACCAAGGCUUUGACGGGUAGCCGGCCUGAGAGGGUGACCGGCCACAUUGAGACUGAGAUACGGCCCAGACUCCUACGGGAGGCAGCAGUGGGGAAUAUUGCACAAUGGGCGGAAGCCUGAUGCAGCAACGCCGCGUGCGGGAUGACGGCCUUCGGGUUGUAAACCGCUUUCGCCUGUGACGAAGCGUGAGUGACGGUAAUGGGUAAAGAAGCACCGGCUAACUACGUG